AGUGAACGCUGGCGGUAGGCCUAACACAUGCAAGUCGAACGGCAGCACAGUAAGAGCUUGCUCUUACGGGUGGCGAGUGGCGGACGGGUGAGGAAUACAUCGGAAUCUACUUUUUCGUGGGGGAUAACGUAGGGAAACUUACGCUAAUACCGCAUACGACCUACGGGUGAAAGCAGGGGAUCGUCGGACCUUGCGCGAUUGAAUGAGCCGAUGUCGGAUUAGCUAGUUGGCGGGGUAAAGGCCCACCAAGGCGACGAUCCGUAGCUGGUCUGAGAGGAUGAUCAGCCACACUGGAACUGAGACAGGGUCCAGACUCCUACGGGAGGCAGCAGUGGGGAAUAUUGGGCAAUGGGCGCAAGCCUGAUCCAGCAAUACCGCGUGGGUGAAGAAGGCCUUCGGGUUGUAAAGCCCUUUUGUUGGGAAAGAAAAGCAGCAGGUUAAUACCCCGCUGUUCUGACGGUACCCAAAGAAUAAGCACCGGCUAACUUCGUG
RNAcentral lists this ribosomal RNA (492 nucleotides) under uncultured bacterium. RNAcentral's name for it is "partial 16S ribosomal RNA". It matches the Rfam family "Bacterial small subunit ribosomal RNA", at positions 29 to 507 of the family's 1533-position model. The record is from RNAcentral.